This 253-nucleotide ribosomal RNA is filed under the name uncultured bacterium. RNAcentral's name for it is "partial 16S ribosomal RNA". It matches the Rfam family "Bacterial small subunit ribosomal RNA", at positions 524 to 776 of the family's 1533-position model. The record is from RNAcentral.
UACGUAGGUGGCAAGCGUUGUUCGGAAUUAUUGGGCGUAAAGGGCGCGUAGGCGGUCGGUUAAGUCAGCUGUGAAAGCCCGGGGCUCAACCCCGGAGGGUCGGCUGAUACUGAUUGACUAGAGUACGGAAGAGGUAGCUGGAAUUCCCGGUGUAGCGGUGAAAUGCGCAGAUAUCAGGAGGAACACCGGUGGCGAAGGCGGGUCUCUGGGCCAUAACUGACGCUGAGGAGCGAAAGCGUGGGGAGCGAACAGG